Molecule: long non-coding RNA, 440 nt
Organism: Gambusia affinis (western mosquitofish)
Lineage: Eukaryota; Metazoa; Chordata; Actinopteri; Cyprinodontiformes; Poeciliidae
Exons: 3
Source: RefSeq, a predicted model, not a curated record
GUAAAUUUGUGGUUUGGAGAGCCUGAUAUCCGAGGUGUCUCUGGAAAGAGGAUGGGGGGAGUGUUAAGCAAACGGGGAAAAGCAGAAAUACCUCACAUUCAGAGAGAGGAGAUAAACCACAUGAAACCAUCUGGAACUCCGACUACCACACCAUCAACAUUCACCAAAAUUUCCUAAAUUAGUCUGCACCAGCUGAAACCCAUCAUCAGGUUUCUACUGGAACAACAGCAGCAGACAUUUGAUAGAUUUCAAGUUUUCAUCUUGGUAUUGGCAGUUAGGAGGUUCGCUACGAGGCAGUGCUGAGGGUAUUUUAGGGUUUCUGUGCAUAUGAACAGGUGGCUCUGAGCUUGUGUAAACAAAAAUGUCGAGUUUGCAGGUGCAACAAGUGUUGCCAGUUGGCUAUACUCCCCUUGUUAAUGCUGGAGGAGCUGAAUCUUCAC